AUGCAGCAGGUGACGACGGACAUCCCUGUUUUGCUCAAGCGACACCUGGAGGUGGCUUCUGACCUGGAGGCGCUCCCAAACGCUCUGUGCCUUCACACCUCUUCCAUAGCCCAGGCAAGCGCAGGGGUCACUUCUCCUCUCGCGGCAACGYGGUCGCCCACGGCGUGAAAGGCGACCGCCGCCGAGCAGCGCUGCCGUGCCGCCGGACGGAGGUUUGGGGACACCUAGACGUUGUGGCCCCACGGCUGCCCUGACGUGGCUCCUGGUGGGACGCCCGGAGAAGGUCAGUGGCUCCCCAGCUUCUGGAGUGACUCUCUUGAACAAAAUAUCCCCAAACUCAGCGUCUGGUGCUGGCUGGAAAUGUGCGGUAAGGAGGAAGAAAAGGGCUCUUUGAUGUUGGGUUAGAGAUUUGUGGAAGUUCAGCCGGUUCAUGUGCGGCUGGAGAUCACAGUGACAACGUUAUAGAGUCCCCUGAGUUUCAGUGUCGCGUUGGUUUAUCCGUGUCUCCCUUAAUCCCGAGAAUCCUUUUGUACCAAAAAGUAACGCAAGUAGGUAAAGCAAGGAUGGUACCGCAGAAAGGGGUUUAAGAUGAUAUGUUUUAAACUUUAGAAAUGGAAACGCCAUUAAAAGUGUAUUAUUCAGAGUGUGAAAAAUGUAGCCUUUCACUUCUGCUGACGUACAAUUACUUGAUUUUUGAGGAUUACUGUUCCCGAAUUUGUUUUGCUCCUGACACAACACAAACGAGCUCCAGAACUGUUUGAACCAAGGAAGCAAUCGAGGAAUUCAAUACUCCGGUAAAGAAAAACAAAUAGGACUUGCCUGUUAGCAUGCAACGGCCCUAAAAAUAUACAGCGGCAAUUUCAUGGGUGACCGGUGCUGCAAUAUGAUACUGGCGGUUCAGUCACUGAACGCGCGUUUGUAUUCAGUUGCCUGCCUGUUAGCGAAAAGAAGCCGAUGGCUUUUGCAGGGCCGAUGGGUCGGGAGGCAACGGCAGUUUGGCGGGACCUGAGGCUGCUCUGCCGGAGCUGAGCCUUCGUGGCCCGUUUGUUCUGCAGGGAUGGUGCUCGCACGCGAUUAAUUAGUGUUGCUGUUAAUACAGGAUGCGACUCCAUUAGGCUAAUGUGCCUUAUCGGUCAAGCUUAAAUUAAUUAGGUAAUAAAACCAACCCUAAAAAAAAAAAAAAAAAGGUC
Molecule: long non-coding RNA, 1190 nt
Filed under: Apteryx owenii (little spotted kiwi)
Lineage: Eukaryota; Metazoa; Chordata; Aves; Apterygiformes; Apterygidae
Description: lncRNA (ENSAOWG00000018090.1)
Source: RNAcentral